RNAcentral lists this transfer RNA (73 nucleotides) under Lachnospiraceae bacterium. RNAcentral describes it as "tRNA-Asp". It matches the Rfam family "tRNA". Rfam says of the family: Transfer RNA (tRNA) molecules are approximately 80 nucleotides in length. Their secondary structure includes four short double-helical elements and three loops (D, anti-codon, and T loops). Further hydrogen bonds mediate the characteristic L-shaped molecular structure. tRNAs have two regions of fundamental functional importance: the anti-codon, which is responsible for specific mRNA codon recognition, and the 3' end, to which the tRNAs corresponding amino acid is attached (by aminoacyl-tRNA synthetases). tRNAs cope with the degeneracy of the genetic code in two manners: having more than one tRNA (with a specific anti-codon) for a particular amino acid; and 'wobble' base-pairing, i.e. permitting non-standard base-pairing at the 3rd anti-codon position. The record is from RNAcentral. Lineage: Bacteria; Bacillati; Bacillota; Clostridia; Lachnospirales; Lachnospiraceae.
GCCCAGUGGCUCAGUUGGUUAGAGCGCCGCCCUGUCACGGCGGAGGUCACGGGUUCGAGUCCCGUCUGGGUCG